This 253-nucleotide ribosomal RNA is filed under the name uncultured bacterium. RNAcentral's name for it is "partial 16S ribosomal RNA". It matches the Rfam family "Bacterial small subunit ribosomal RNA", at positions 524 to 776 of the family's 1533-position model. The record is from RNAcentral.
UACGGGGGGGGCAAGCGUUGUUCGGAAUUACUGGGCGUAAAGGGCUCGUAGGUGGCCAACUAAGUCAGACGUGAAAUCCCUCAGCUUAACUGGGGAACUGCGUCUGAUACUGGAUGGCUUGAGUUUGGGAGAGGGAUGCGGAAUUCCAGGUGUAGCGGUGAAAUGCGUAGAUAUCUGGAGGAACACCGGUGGCGAAGGCGGCAUCCUGGACCGGUAUUGACGCUGAGGCGCGAAAGCUAGGGGAGCAAACGGG